AGCGGCUGGGACUUCGGAUGGAUCGGGCGUCGGCAGCCGCUCUGGCAUCACAGGACCCUUUAGCUGGUCGUCAUCUUCCCACCGAAUGAGGAUAAAGUGGUUUACAUUUUUUACCAAAAAAUAGAAGUGUUCCUUAGCAUUGGGGAUGAUGAUUAUGAUGCAGGCUGCCAAACUGAGGGCCUCCGUGCCAGGUGCUUCCUGUGCAUUAUCUCCAGUCCCCACAAAGAUCUCGCAAGAAAUAGAAAAGUUUCAGAAAGGAGAAGGCAAGGACGAAGAAAAGUACAUCGAUGUGGUGAUUAAUAAGAACAUGAAGCUGGGACAGAAAGUGUUAAUUCCUGUAAAGCAGUUCCCUAAGUUCAACUUUGUGGGGAAACUUUUGGGUCCCCGUGGCAAUUCUCUGAAGCGCUUACAAGAAGAAACCUUGACAAAAAUGUCCAUCCUUGGAAAAGGUUCCAUGCGAGACAAGGCAAAGGAGGAAGAGUUGAGGAAGAGUGGGGAAGCAAAAUACUUUCACCUCAACGACGACCUCCACGUUCUCAUCGAAGUGUUCGCUCCACCAGCAGAAGCAUAUGCCCGGAUGGGACACGCACUGGAAGAAAUCAAAAAGUUCCUCAUUCCUGACUAUAAUGAUGAAAUCAGGCAAGCACAGCUCCAAGAGUUGACGUAUUUGAAUGGUGGUUCAGAAAACGCGGACGUCCCAGUUGUUCGAGGAAAACCCACCUUGCGUACAAGAGGUGUACCAGCCCCAGCAGUAACCAGGGGAAGGGGAGGAGUCACAGCCCGGCCAGUUGGAGUUGGUGUACCACGAGGGACGCCGGCUUCCAGAGGAGUCCUUUCCACCCGAGGGCCAGUGAGUCGGGGAAGAGGGCUUCUCACUCCCAGAGCAAGAGGAGUGCCCCCAACUGGGUACAGACCUCCGCCGCCACCCCCAACACAAGAGACCUACGGAGAUUAUGACUAUGAUGAUGGUUAUGGCACUGCUUAUGACGAACAGAGUUAUGAUUCCUAUGAUAACAGCUAUAGCACCCCUGCCCAAAGUGGUGCUGAUUACUAUGAUUACGGACAUGGACUCAGUGAAGAGACGUACGAUUCCUACGGGCAAGAGGACUGGACUAACUCAAGACACAAGGCACCUUCAGCGAGGACAGCAAAGGGCGUCUACAGAGACCAGCCAUAUGGCAGAUACUGAUUGUACUGUCUGAUGUUGUGAAAUAGCCAAUCUCCACCAGUCCUGUAUACUGUUCAAAGAAAUGUCAGCCAUCUUGGGAAGUCAAAGGAACUGGUUGUGCCCGGGGAGCAAACAAAGAACCCAUAGCCCCCCUGGCCUGUAAAAAGGGAUUGUGAGCCAGAAAGAUCUGGAACCACCAGGAAUGCUAUCGGACAAGAAGCCUCCUGCUUGGCCUCAAGGGCUUCCUGUACUUGGCACGUACCUGCCAAGCCUUCUCUCUCCCUGUUCCUCUGAAGUAAUUUGGAGGGCGAUGGAAGGGGUGGACUAUAACCAUACGUGCUGGCCCCCGCUCCUUCGCCCACGGAAACCAGGCCCGUUCUCCAGGACGUGGCCUGGUGCCCUCCCUUCUGUGGCCACCAUCCCUCGGCCCUCUCUGGAUUCGGUUGGUACUUCUUCGUUUCAGCGUUGAUGUCACAGGACUUAGAUUGGCUACAAGUUGCUGUUGCGACCACACACGAGCUUAUCACUCUCAGGACUUUCCUUCAAGUUGUGGACUGCUGACGAAUUGUCAACUCACCAACGUGCCUAGUCAGUAAAUGAAUUCGCUUGGGAGCUUGAAAAUCGUCUUAAUUUUUUGUUUCACAAUUUUAUGUCCUGUGAAAUGUUUUUAUAAAAUGGUACGCCUUUUUUAAUUUGGAAAGCCUGUUUUAAAAAAGGGAAGGGAAAUCCCGUCUUAUUUUGUGGUCUCCCAACAACGAACGAACAAAUGAUCUGUGUAUCACUUAAUAAAGGCUGUCCGUUUCA
Molecule: RNA transcript, 1972 nt
Organism: Acinonyx jubatus (cheetah)
Lineage: Eukaryota; Metazoa; Chordata; Mammalia; Carnivora; Felidae
Gene: KHDRBS3
Gene name: KH RNA binding domain containing, signal transduction associated 3
Exons: 12
Source: RefSeq, a predicted model, not a curated record